UACGAAGGGGGCUAGCGUUGCUCGGAAUCACUGGGCGUAAAGCGCACGUAGGCGGAUCUUUAAGUCAGGGGUGAAAUCCUGGAGCUCAACUCCAGAACUGCCCUUGAUACUGGGGAUCUUGAGUCCGGAAGAGGUGAGUGGAACUCCGAGUGUAGAGGUGAAAUUCGUAGAUAUUCGGAAGAACACCAGUGGCGAAGGCGGCUCACUGGUCCGGUACUGACGCUGAGGUGCGAAAGCGUGGAGAGCAAACAGG
RNAcentral lists this ribosomal RNA (253 nucleotides) under uncultured bacterium. RNAcentral describes it as "partial 16S ribosomal RNA". It matches the Rfam family "Bacterial small subunit ribosomal RNA", at positions 524 to 776 of the family's 1533-position model. The record is from RNAcentral.